UACGUAGGGUGCGGGCGUUAAUCGGAAUUACUGGGCGUAAAGCGUGCGCAGGCGGUUUUGUAAGCCAGAUGUGAAAUCCCCGGGCUUAACCUGGGAAUGGCAUUUGGGACUGCAAGGCUUGAGUGCGGCAGAGGAGACUGGAAUUCCUGGUGUAGCAGUGAAAUGCGUAGAUAUCAGGAGGAAUACCGAUGGCGAAGGCAGGUCUCUGGGCCUGUCCUGACGCUGAGGCGCGAAAGCUAGGGGAGCGAACAGG
This 253-nucleotide ribosomal RNA is filed under the name uncultured bacterium. RNAcentral describes it as "partial 16S ribosomal RNA". It matches the Rfam family "Bacterial small subunit ribosomal RNA", at positions 524 to 776 of the family's 1533-position model. The record is from RNAcentral.